UCCUACGGGAGGCAGCAGUGGGGAAUAUUGCCCAAUGGGGGAAACCCUGAUGCAGCGACGCCGCGUGAGUGAAGAAGUAUUUCGGUAUGUAAAGCUCUAUCAGCAGGGAAGAAAAUGACGGUACCUGACUAAGAAGCCCCGGCUAACUACGUGCCAGCAGCCGCGGUACUACGUAGGGGGCAAGCGUUAUCCGGAUUUACUGGGGGUAAAGGGGGCGCAGACGGUAGCGCAAGCCAGGAGUGAAAGCCCGGGGCCCAACCCCGGGCGUGCUC
Molecule: ribosomal RNA, 272 nt
Filed under: uncultured bacterium
Lineage: Bacteria
Description: partial 16S ribosomal RNA
Rfam family: Bacterial small subunit ribosomal RNA
Source: RNAcentral